RNAcentral lists this unclassified non-coding RNA (569 nucleotides) under Hevea brasiliensis (rubber tree). Lineage: Eukaryota; Viridiplantae; Streptophyta; Magnoliopsida; Malpighiales; Euphorbiaceae. The record is from RNAcentral.
CUGGAGGCUUCCUAGGUAAGGUGCCUAAGUUCUGGCUGCAACUAAUAUAAGCUCAAUCUUGUAUAAGAAGUUUAGUAGCUCUUAGAUCAUAUAUUUACACCGAGAUUCGUGCACUAAUUAUUUCACUGAUGUGCAUAUGCAUGCUUUAAUUGAUUAUGCAUGGAUCUCAAAAUAAAUAUUUGAUCUGAGGUCUGUUAGGCCUGUUCUUAAAUAAGAUCGAGUAUAUAUUAGAUGCACCUUUUCAUUUUUUGGAGUACAAUCUGAUGGUUGCCUACAGUUUCAUUAUAUUUUUAACUCUCUUGGUUCAGAGUUAAUUAUAGGCCAUUUGGUUUAAUUCCUGCUUUUGCUUGAGCAUAGAUCCUUCUGAGUGCUGAUUAUUCCUUUGAAUAAUUCAAAUGAUUGAAUUUCAUUUAUUAAUAUAUUUUUUAAGCGAGGAGAAGCUUAAAUAUGUUCCCUUAUUUAUGUAAUAACCAAGUUCUGUGCAAGAUCUAAAAUGUGAGUUCGUAGAUUUAUAGAUUUAGGCAUUGCCUAGGAAAUUGCAAUGUUUUUUAAUUUUCCUCUCAUUUUUU